AUUCCGAAUGAUAGUUUCAUCAGUACUGAAGACUGGUGGCUGACUGCGCGAAAGGAGGUUCCCAAGAACGAUCGAUGCAAUUUUGACACCAUUACCAUACUGUUGCACUGGAGGAUUUGGAAGGAACGGAAUGCCAGAAUUUUUGAGCAUGUGGCGUGUAACAUUGACAGGUUGCUGGAUCUAAUGAGAGAUGAUAUUAGGGCUCGGAGAGCUGCUGGCUGUGUUAGCGAUCUCUUUUAG
Molecule: ribosomal RNA, 240 nt
Filed under: Triticum aestivum (bread wheat)
Lineage: Eukaryota; Viridiplantae; Streptophyta; Magnoliopsida; Poales; Poaceae
Description: partial small subunit ribosomal RNA
Source: RNAcentral